Molecule: non-coding RNA, 18195 nt
Organism: Meleagris gallopavo (turkey)
Lineage: Eukaryota; Metazoa; Chordata; Aves; Galliformes; Phasianidae
Source: RefSeq, a predicted model, not a curated record
AAAAAAAAAGGUACAGAGUGUAUUCAAAAGUUUCUUACAUGCUAGCAAAAAGAAUACAAGAAGGAAUAUAUCUUUCAUUCCUUUGAAACUGUCAACACAAGGGUGGUUGUGUUGGUGUAGCUGACUGGAAAACUAAGAUGAGUUACUUAAAUGAAAGUUAGAAUUUUGUUUGUUGAGAAGCUGCAAGGAAAGUGUUGGUCACAUAGACAGUGAGCGAGAAAAUGUAGUCUUAAAAGUAGUGUGAGAGGAUUGGGGACAUAGGAGGAUUUAGGGUUUUCUCCACAGGUUUCUUUUUAUUUUUUUCUUCCCAAGGAAUAGUGUUCUAACAUUAAAAGAGAGCCUAUUUUACAAUGCUAAGGCAUUUAAUCUCAAUGUAAGGGUUUUAAAAGCUCCAUCGUUGGUUUUUUUUUUUAAUGUUUAGAAUGCUGUCUAGAGCACAUGACUGUAGUGUAUCUUUCCUUUAUAUUUUGUGCAAAGCCAAGAGCUGACUGUGUGAGUUUAAUGGUUGCAGUGUGUUAGGUUUCUUGUGCUACUCCUGUUGUGAUGGGGGCUUUCAGACAGCUUGUUUCAGAAGCCCUCAAUUGAUGAUUAUACCAGUCUCCGUUUUUAUUGCACUUAUAUUGAAGCAGUGAGCCUUAACUUUUUAUUUUUUUAACAAUUCAAACAAUUAAUUUGUGUAAUUGACUUGAAAAAAGAUAACAUGGGUUCUUUGCUAAACUUUAGAAUUUAGAUAGGGUAGCAAAGUUUGAUCAUUUCUUGUGUGAUGCACAGAAAAUGAAAGCUUGAAUUGGUGUUCAGCGGUCGUGGUAAUUCUACUUCUCAGAUAAUGUACAACUUCCUUUUGAGGAAAGCUUAAUUCUGAAGUGCGAAGUUGCAGCUCAUUGAAAGUCUGAGGUCUUCACUUAAGUUAAGAAGGGGACUUGUAGAAUAAUAAAUCUUUUCUCUGCUUUUUCCUGUUGCUGUUUGAACCUUUACAGAGGAACUUACAAGCUUCGAAAUUUGUUUCGUCAAUAGACCUGUUGGGACUGUCAGGCCACUGCUCGGCUUCGGCUGAGUUUAAUAAAGUCUCAAGAAGUGAAAGCUCUCUCCAACCUUUGCUGAGGAUCAGGAAGUGAAUUGAAAUGCACAGUAUUGUUCGUUUUAGCUUUGCUCGAGUGUUUUGAGAAUGCCUCUCUUAUUCGUUUAAAUAGAUUAAAUAUUCAUGUUGCCUUUGAUUUCCUGGGUUAGUUUUUUUGUAAUAAUGCUUCCCAAUGUGUUCAUUCUCUUGUGCUGUAAGUUACUCAUUCUUAUGCUGAAAAGGGAAGCAGAAAAGAGCCAAGAAUUCCCUUAGUGUAAAAAAGGAGGCAAACAGACAGAUUUUCCUUUUCAUUACUUUUCCUUUAAUUUCUCUGGAAGUAUUCUGGGUUAUUUUUCACAUAUGAUACUGAAUGAGAUAAGACUUACCUUUUGUUAUCAUAGCAGUCAGCGUUUCCGCUUGUGUAAAUAAGACAAGACCCUUGCAUCAAUAACUCUGGUUGUUACGUAUGACUGAUAUGUGUCAGUCAUACAUUUCAUGUUUUUCAAGAGUAAUUUAUGUUUCCUAGUAGAUUCCUGUAGAUUUAUUUUCAGAUCUCACGGGAUGGAUGGUGAUUAGCAGAGCCCACUGCAGUUGAAUUUCACUGUGGCCUUGCAAUACAAAUGUAAGCAGGCUGUGAUUUCAAAUUUUGCAGAGUUCAGGGAUGGUCUUCUGAACAUGGGGCAAGAAUUAAUGUGAUUCAUCCGCUGAUACUGAAGUGUGGUAAUGUGUUCCUAUCAAACUUUGCCUUUAUGCAGUAAAUUCUCACCAGUGCUGCUACUAGUUGAGCUGAUUUGGUGUUAACAGCAGCAGGAAUCCUUAUGCUUUGCAGAUGUGAGAGUACCUAGAGAGUUACAAAUGUAGGCAGGCAGAGACCCACAGAGUGCAGGUUCUGUAGUACUGUAUAAAGGCAGCAUGCUACAAACCUUUGUCCUGUGUUGGUACUGUUCUGUAACGUCUCAUCAUCUUAGUGGUCUUGGGCAGAGCCUAUUAAGUGGUUCUACCUGUGGUAUGCUUUAAGGCAUACAUAUGAAGUGUAUAUAUAUGAGUUCUUACUGAAUAAACAAUCAACUUAGUUUGCGUGUGUGUGUCUGUGAGAGAGAGAAAGAGAGCUGAUGGGGAACCUAAUACAAGACAAACAAUCUCUUCCUGACUUCCUUUCCCAUUUUCCUGUUGCCAUGUCUAUUGUAUUUUUUAAAAAAGUUCUGCAGACGAUUUUUAUGCCCAACUGAAAUGUGGUGAGCAGAACUGAGCUCAUCAGUUAGACAAUGGAAUAAGGUGCCAGCUCUUCACAGGAUGCACUCUGGAAAAGAAAUAGGUGGAAUACUGACUGUCAAAUAUUCUCCUGUAUUAACUCCAGCUUGUAGAUGAAUGGUCUGAAUAAGGAAUUGUGUACAGUGUUUCAGUCCUUGCCAAAGAUAAUAGUAGCAGCAUAAAAGCUUUUACUGUGAUGAGCAUGAGAUAAAAUUAUUUUCAAAUGGGGAAUCUUUUAAGGCUUUGAGAUAACACACUAAAAUGGCAGCUCUUCACUUUUGUGGGUUUUUUUUUUAAUGUUCAUAGUUUCUAACUUUUAUUUUUACAUGCCCUGUUUAGAAGAUCAUAUAUAAAACUUGAAUGGAAAAGUGAGUAUCCCAGUGUUAGUCAUGACCUACUAAAUGCUUCAGUUUGUGUGAUCUCAUUUGUUAGUAAAUAAUUUGGGAGCUAUGCAGUCUGGUGUGGUAGUGCAUUCAGUGUCCUUGUAAUUGCUUAUUUUGCAGUCUCUCAAUCUUCAGCUGGUAGCAUUGGGUUUGCCCUGCCUCUGCUGUCGUCAUCCACCUACACAAGCAUGUUGGAUAGCUGAAAGCAACUUCUGAACAGUUUCAUGUGAUGGACUAGUUGCACACCAAAUUUAAGAAGCAUGUCUGGUUUAGACUGGGACAGAAUCCUUCCUGUAAUCAUGAUGAGGGCGUUAAAAACAAAACUUGUCUACAAUUGUCUGUGUUUAAGAUUUGUGUCCUUCUCCCCCUUCCCAGUCAGUUAGAUAAAAAAUUGUCCAAAAUAGACUUGGAUAAAUCUUUCUUGUGAAUCCUGUUUAAUGUUUUGUCUUAUCUUCUUUUCUGGUAGUAAGACCUAUGAGUGAAGAGCACUAGAAGAGAACAUUACUGAUUCUUACUGCUAUCAUGCAGAAGACAGUAAGGGGAAAGGUAUCUUGGGUCGGUUUGUUUCCUCUGCUCUUUUCUACUCUUCCCUAGGAACUCAUACUGAUACUUGGAAAUGUGAAGCAUUAGUUAUCCUACAUGCUGCAGCUGAACAUGCAGAAGAGAGAACAGCUCUUACAUCACCAUCAGAACAGCUGGAAUUUUUGCCAUGGCACAGCUCUCUGCACAUUUGAACUAAGGAUGUUUUAUUGGGGUUGCUAGAUUAACUAUGUUAACUACCCCAUCUUGAAUAUUUAGGAAUGAGUUGUUUCCUGUUGGUGUUUUGAGAAAUAGACUGUUGUACACAUGUUUUGAGGAGGUAAAGGCUGCAUGAAAGAUGAGGGGAAAAAAAAUCAGACAAUGUGAAUGCUUUAAGACUAAUGUGUAAAUGCCAGUGCAGCUCUAUAAAGAGCAAACAUUUGGAUCUACUUCAGCAUAGGUGUAUUUGGUCUGAGCUGAUUUUUGUGUACCAUGCUCAGUCUGUGAGAGUGUCAGUGGACUUGCUGGUUAUACUGUGGGCUUGUUGGUCCAUGCAGUGUUAGAAAGCAUGCACUUAGUAAGGAGCUAAGAAAUUGAUGUCUUGGAUGUUGUUGACUUUCUAGACUAGGAAGAAUAAAGUUUGAAACUCAUAGAAGUAUGGCCUGAUGUGAUUGACAUAAUUAGGUAAGCUUGGAAAGAUUUUGUCCCUCUGUAGAAGAGCAAAAAGGAAAAGCAUCUGGAUUAUUGUUAAUAACCCUUAUAUAUUAUGACUCAAAAUACUUUUAUUUAACUUUAUCCUUUUGCUUGGUUUUGUUAUUUACACACAAAUUAUGCAGACAUUCACAUUUUGCAUUACUGAAAGUUAUUCUUUUAUCACAUGGGUUUUUGUUAUUUUUCCAAGAGUUUUUCUUUAUGAAAUAAUUUCUUAAUUGAAUUGCUAAUAGACCAGUACUGUUCAAUAAAUCAAGACGCAUGUUGUCUUGCACUGACUUGUAAGAAAAUAAAAUGCAAAAGAACCAGAAUGCUGUGUUCUAAAAGAAUGCAUAGGGUGCUUUCCAUCUGGUUUUUGGAGCAGCUUUACUAUUCUUUAGGUCUUCUGUAUUUGAACUCAGUUGUAUUGUUACAAGUAGACAAGUAGCUAGACGUCUGGCUAGCUAUAGGAAUGAGAAGACUGAGGAUAACUUCUUACUUGCUCUCAGAUCAGGGAGGGACAGAUUUUAAAUGCGUAUUUUGAAAGUAACUUCUUUUUUUCCCUAGGAUUGGGGCAUCUAAUGUAGUUUUUCUUUCUGAAAAUAAUUGAUUACUAUAUCUUUUAUUGCUUUUGCUCUUGGAGAUACUGUAUUUGCAUCUAGAACACUUUAAAAAAUUACUUUGACACCAUGAAGCACUAAGUUGUUUUAAAGCUGUUUCCUGUUUUAGGUCACAUGAAUUCUGGACACUAAAGCAGUUUAAUCUCAGAAUGAUUACUGUGGAGGUUUUGCGCUUCUUAAUGUACACUUACUUAAUGUGUUAAAGAAAAAAGGCACAACCGACCAACAACAGCGAAAAACUACACAAAAAUAGCAGUUAGGUGUCGUGGGGGGAGGCUGUGCUGAGUGUGUGGAUCAGAAGUGACCCGGGAGGCAGCGAUUCCUCCUGGGGUUAGCAGGGAGAAAACGAGCAUAGUGAUGAACUGUGUGCUCUCUUGUGUAAAGCGUUCCAAACGUAUAUGGUUGCACUGUUCCCUUUGCUGCUUGAAAUGGAAGUGCUUGAAAGAACAUUUAGUAUUUUUUAACUGUGCAGACUUAUAUUUUUAUUUUUCACUUUGGCAUUUGUCUUUAACGAGAUGUUUGGGAAGGUUUAUAGAGCCAUGCAUCUCAUGCAAGUGAAGGGUUUGAGGGGUGCAGUAGCCGUGACCGUCAUCCGCUGUCAAAGAAACACUAGGGAAGGGAACAUUGAAUAGAGUGUUUCUCUUAAAAGAAGGUGCUGCUUCUUUGUGUACUAUCAAUUGAUCUGUAGUGGACAACUUGUGAUUAUGCCUGGCUGCACAUUUAUGAAAAAAUCUCAACUCCUAGGUAUCAGUAUCUUGCUUUGCAUAAGGCUUUCUGUUUAUCACUGUCAGCCUAACUCUUGCUCAUAGUGUUUCUUUUAUUUUCUUGAGGGCUUGUUUGCUUUUUUAAGUGGUGUUGCCAAAGAUUUAUGUUUAUAUUGGUUUGUUCCUUGAACUCUGUUGUUAUGAGUUUUACCUGAUUUAUUUGGUUUUUCAGAAACGUCAGAAGUUGAACAUUUAGCACAAAUGUCUUAAGGGCUAUGUUUAUACACAGUUUUCUUCUGGUUAGAAAUGCUGUGUUCCUUUGAAUUACACUGAACUCUGGCUUUGUGGUUUUAAAUGAAAAAAAACCCAACAAACCAGAAGUUUGAUCUCUCCUGAAGUUAAAAUAUCCAGAAUGUUCAUCUGGGCUAAGACUUUGCAUAAGGUGUUCAGCAUGGGUGUUAUGUUACCCCAUUGCUGCAGUAUAGCUAGCAAGUGGAACUCUGUUUCUUUACUCCAGGAUGUUUUUUUUGAGGCUGGGAAUCUCUGUUCACAGUCUGAGAUGAAAAAUCUGACACAAACCUUACCAGCAAGCUAUUAGAAAGUUUAUCAAAACUUCAGGGGGAUUAGAAUGAGCUUACAGGUGUGUAUCUGCUACCAGCAGCAAAAGGACCUUGUUUUUUUUGUUAACAUUGGUUAUCAUGACUUACCAGUGGUUUGUUUCAUUUCUGAAAGUUUUGUUUAAACACUUAACUAGAAGAUCACUCCUAGUGCAGACAUUGAUACAAUUAAUUUUGAAUUUCUACGGAAAGAAAUACUCUUGUGCUGUAGGACAGUGUCAAGACAGCUACAUUUUCCCAGGUGAGAACCAAAAAUGACUGCCUCUAUUCAGGUACAGAGAGAGCACUGAUCUAAAUAAGAGCUGUGUUGCUUCCCAGCUGAUGAUUGGGAACAAGGCUUGCUGGGAUGGAAGAAUGUGAGUUUCUCUCAGCUGAACUUUUGAAGAUUUCAUUAAAACCCGAUUUAAAAGGGGAGGAGGAAACGUGCUGUGAGCUUGCGUACUUGAGACUUCUUUUAGAUGGUUUAUGAACAGUAAUAAGAUAGGAUUUCAGGCACUUCAUUAAAAUCAUUCAUGUGCUUUUCAGGAAGUGCUUCAAUUCUGCCCUAAUGUGUAAAUCCAGAUUUAGAAACAUAGCAGACAGAAUAGGGAAGAGUAUUUCUUGAACAAAGCAAGAAAGCAUUCCUUUUCCAGGACUGGUAGGAGCUACAUUGUAUUUAUUGAACAGGAUACCUUGCCUUCUGUGCUUUUUCCUUUUAACUUGUGGAAAUAAAUCACCAAAAUAAUUCUUGGGGUUCUGACUCUUCUUGUCACAUCUUUUAUGUAUACCAAACCUUUGUUUUUUCUCUCUCUGUACUUGGGAUGAUCAACAUUUCAAAUGUUUUUUUGCCUGUGUAAUGUUAAACAUUAAAAGUAUCAGUGCAACAGUGGUGCUAAUGUACUUAACAAAAUGUGUUUAUGAAUUCUGGCCUACUACUGUGCAACUGCAUUUUUAACUAGUUUAAAUAAGCUGUCUUUGUAAAUGUUAUUUGACACACAAACCUACAAACAAUCAAAGUUUUGACAUGCACAUGUACAAACAAUCAAAGCAAGGCAUUUUUUUGUUGUCUAAAAGUUCUACUAUUUCUAGGACACGAUAAUACUAAUAAGCAUUUUCAGUUGUCUUUAGUCAGAAAAAUAGUUUUGGUGUAAACAUACGGUAACUAAAAAACCUUUUACAUGUGAAGAUCCCUUUCUUCUAUGCUCUUGGUUUCAUCUUUUAUCUUCCCCUGUAGUGGCUCCACAUCCCUUUAUUAUGCAGCUGUAGUAGUAGUGCUGCCUAAUAACAAAUGAAGGGUUGAGCCUGAAUUAGUUUUCUGUGUUAGGUUGUUUUUUUGGGAGAAUGGGUUGGCUGUUGUUGCUAAAGGGGUUUGGUUUGGUUUGGUUUGUCUCGUAUUCCAUGCACUUUUAACUUUGACUUGGUAAGUAACUUUCUUCAUGUUUUGAAAAUCUAGCUACUAUCAUACUUUUUGCUUAAUGUGAUUAAUCUCAAGCUCAUAUAUCAUAGCUAAGGUGAAUGAGAUGGUUUAAAAGCAAGACCUUGUUAAGUUACAAGUAAAUUCCACAGACUAUUCAACUACAUAAAUUCUGGAAAAGAGCUGACUGGAUAGCAGCUCUCAAGAAACAGAUAUGGAAGUUAAAAUAGAGAGAUGAAUAUAAGCCAUUAUAUCAGCUUGAGUUAUAAAAAAAUAAAAAAAUAAAAAAUAAAAAAGAGAAACCCAAAAUCAAAACUGAAAAAACAGAACUAAGUAAUGAUUCUUUCUUUACUUUCUGCUAGCAGUCAUCUUCCUUCUCCAAAAACCAAUAUCAACAAUAGAUAAAGCCUUGAUUAUAGAAGUAUAAUUUUGAUUUAUAGCUAAGAAUACUGCUAGGCACACUUGUGUUAAGGUUUCAGUUAUUCUCAGCUUCGUUAAAGCUCUGUUACGGGUUCUGAUUCAAUAUGACCGUUGUAGUUGGACAGGGAAUGGAUGUGAAUGGGGAGAAAUGUAGAAAAACUCAAAAAUGGUCAGGGUGUUAAAAAAUGUGAUCUUUUAAGGAUGAGUGACAUAACUGUCAUUGUUUUGGCCUUAUAUGUGGAUGACCUGAGCCUUCAAGUCUGUUUAAUAGUUUUGCAUGCUGAAAAGACAUUGUACCCUUACACUGAACAAGGGAAGUUUUUAGAUUUUUCCUAAUCUAAAUAGAGUUGUUGGAGUUGCAGAUUGUAGAAAUAAGUGUCUUGGGAACGUUUGAUGUAUUGGUGUCAUGCCUUUAAGUCAGGGGAUGAAAUAGAUGCUUUCUUGAUGUCUUUUCCAACUGGUUUUUGUUUUUUUUUUCCUAAGAAACUUCUGAUACUUAUUACUGAUUCUAUGAUUUAGGUUUUUGAGUUCUGCUUAUCAGUAGAGCAUUGGAAUGUCUGAUCUGAAGAAAAAGACAUACUUAAUACAACUUAAUCUUGAAAAAUCUGAGGAAGGUGCUUGUGUUGUCAUAAGGCAAAUUAUUUAUUACCUGCAAUGCAUAUAAAUAGUGAUGUUAUUGAGGAAUUGGUGAAAAGUAGGUGGAUCAGAACAUCCUGAUUUUGUUCCUACUUUUUCUAUUAAAUCCUCUUAGAGUUGACUAAUACAGGGUCAUAGAAUGGUAGGGGCUGGAAGGGACCUCUGGAGAUGAUUUAGUUUGGCCUCCUGCUAAAGCAUUUCCCUGCAGCAGGUCUCACAGGUGGGUUUCCAGGCAGGCUUUGAAUAUCUCCUGAGAAGGAGACUCCACCACCUGUCUGGACAGCCUGUUCCAGAGCUCUGUCACUGCUGAAGUAAAGAAAUAGUUCCUCAUGUUCAUAUAGAACUUGCUGUGCUCCGGAUUGUACCAUUGGCCUUUGUCCUGCUGCUGAGCACCACUUAGUUUUUCAACCUUUAUACUGUCCUUUAAACAGUAGAUUGUGCAUCUUUGUGAAAAAGAUCCAGGGAAUUUCUAGGGGAAUGUUUAGAAUAGGGUUUUGCUGCUGAGGUUUUUUGGUUUUUUUUUUAUUCUUUAGUUUUUUAAGUGAGAGAGACUUGUAUUUAUGGAGCAUUUAUCUUUGACUGGAGAGCAACAACUGUGUACACUGAGCUAGAAACUGAAAUGGAUCUGUUCUGAGUUGUUCCAACCCUUCUUACCUAGUUUAAAUGCAUUAGAUUCUUUGCAGUUUCUUGUAUGAAUUGUUUGGAUAAGGCUGUAAAUUGAAACUCCAUCAGUGCUUUUGUCGAGCCCAAGAUACAUUUUGUAAGAAUAAGGAGCUGCUUUGUUGCAGUGUUUUCCCUGUUUUCCCUCUUGUGCGUUUGUGCUGUGCUCUGGCAUUAUUGUAAACAAAGCAUUUCAGUGUCCCUUUAUACUUAACAUAUAAAAAGUGCUUCAGCCAUAGAGUUUUAGAAGAAUACUUUAGCUUAGCCAUUGGAAAAAUAAUAAAUCAGAGUUCAGCUACUUCAUUGGGAUGCACUGGCAUAUCUUUUGACUGUGGAAAGUUGCCAAAAGGGCAACUCUAAUAUUCUGUGCUGUGCAUAAAGUUUCUUUGCCGUUUCGUUUCAAAUUGAAGUAGGAUGAUGAGGUCUGUACUGGCAUGUGACUCAACUUUCUGCUGCUUACCAAAAAUCUAGCAGUGGUAAGGAACGCUGUGUUGCUUAUGGUGAAAAUGAGGAAUCCAGGAAUCAAAAGCAGAAUAUUAAUGUAUUUUCCGAGCUAGUAAAACUGUUAGAUAAUAGUAAUAACAACAAAAUCUUACUAAUAACAUUUCCUAACUGAGCUAGAAUUCUUACAAGUAAAUACCCUAGGCGUAGGGGUGUAGAACAGCUCAGGAAGAAGAGACAUUGGCUGCCUUUGUGAGAUAUUUGACUUCAGAUUUUAGUUGAGUAAAAAAACAGUUUGAGUCUGUGUGGACAUUUGUUUGCCAGGUUCACUGCAAAUUCAUCUGCAUUUGACAUGCUUCACUUCUGCUCCUUUAUGUGAAAAGACUUUGGCAUACAUAAUUCUUGAAGAAUUACCGAGCUGUCUCAGUCUAGAAACAUGAAUAAUUGUUUAAACUGUCCAAAAAAAUCUUGUCGGUAUCCUAUUAGCAAGAUUAUAAAUUGAGGAGGAACCAAAAUAUCAAAUAUACAGCGUAUAUUUAAUCUGUGAGUUGGCAUCAGAUUUAGAACAAUGAAAUGGCUUUCUUGAGAAGCUAGAGGAUACACAGAAAUUUCAAGAGGAUGAUUGAAGGUCUUAUUAACUCAGUCUAAUUAACCUCCUUUCUGUACAAGGUGAGGUGUUGCGUGCUCUGAGAAAUGAUGAAAAGUGUAAGGGAAGUACCGAAUUGAAUCAAUUUUCUUUUAAUGAUAAAUAACCCUUCUGGUCCGGUUAGGCAAAAGUAAACACAUGUGGACUGUGGUUCUGCUUAUACUGUGUGCCAGGAUUCAGCUCAGAGUGAAUUCUUCAGCAGAGUUAUAAACGUUUGAAAAUUGCUUUAUAAUGGAAAUGGUGACAGACCAUUAACUACGGUAGUAUAAAUGCAUUACUUUAGCAUAUGUUACAGUUGUCCUAAGUUGUCGAACACAUGAAAAAACAGCAUGUGCAGGAAAUUCAGGGAGGAGGCUUCUGUGUAGUUUUAACUAAUUAAUGACAUGACUCAGUGCACGUUGAUGUUUGUCAGGCACACGGCCCUCAACGUGCCAGGCUGGUAUCAUUGAUAGACUAAGUAAGAUUUGACUGUGGUAACGCUGACGUCCCGCUCUGAGUGCUGUACUGGAAGAGGACCAAGAAGGACCUGAUGUGUUUAAUCACCAAUGCAGUUAUAGUGCUACUGAAGCAGAUACGUUUUCCUGCUGCCAAAUCAUAAGAACUUCUAAAUCAGAAAGAUAUGCUAGGUAUGCUGGAAAGUCUUGUUACCAAUAAAAAUGCAAAAUCAUGCUUACUUAAGCCGCAAGUAAACAAACUACAUUUGAAAUGAAAUGUCUAAUGCGUGUCUUAUAGAAGAGCUUUUUCUCCAAACUCCUUAUUGUCUCAGUCCCAAAACACAACUGAAGAAAAAUUAUUUCCAGAAAUUACUGUUGUUCUGUUUUUUUUUUUCUUUUAUAGGUAUUAAGAAUAUACACCUGUGCCAGAAUUUUACUUCAUUUUUACUGUAGUGCAGCUGUAUGAAUCUGCCCACUGGUGGACAUUAGCAUUAGCAAUACCAGUUUGCUAUUUAAAACGUGAAGGAGUUUUCAUAGCGUAGACCAAACGGAGCGUUUUGUGUUGCCCUUUAGCACUUGUGUGAAGUAUUAGUUUUUAGCAUUUCUGGUUUGCUUUUUCAUCUUUCUUCUUUAAAAUGCAAAUGGGGAAGCUGGGAAGUGCCUGACUGCUGGAAAAUGUAAGGUUUUGUUAGAAAACCUUUGGUAUUUAUUAGGUAAGCCUAUCCAAGUUUCUUGGCAGAAAAUUGCUUUCAUUAGGAAGUCUGAGGAUGCUGAGAAGAAGUGGAUUUUUGUAUAAUGCUUUUAAACUCUCUCCCGGUGCUGUGAGUUUCAGCGUUUAUUUUAUUCUAGAACCUUCAGACUGAGAUUCUCUUUUACUAUUCUGCCUAUUAGAAUGAAGUAUGAUACACCUAUCAGUCUUUGAGAUUUUGGGUUGAAACACUAUCAUAUUCAUUCUCUGUCUGUGGCUUUAUUUUGAUAAAGUUAUUCACUGGGGGAAGGGAAAGGGAAGGGGCUUCAGUGGAGACAGAAGAGUAGAAUGCACACUGUUUUGGACAGUUGUGCCUCCCAGUUGUAUACUGCCAGAUGGCAAAAAUUAAAAGGAAUAACUAGUAGAGUAGGGUAUAUAAUUCAAGUAAAUAAUUUUCAGCGCUUUUAAUGGAAUAGGUGAGGCCGUGCCUUUGUGAGAAUGUAAUGAAAGUGAUAUAUGAAAAGGGAAGCAGAGUGGCUGAAUAAGAAUCCUAGUUCUUUUGAUUUUGCUAAUUAGUUUCAGUGUAUCAGUCACCAGGAGUGGACAAAUGUUAAUUUUGGUAGUCAGUUCCUCCCUCUUUCUGUGUGCUUUUAAUCUGAGGUGCAGUUGUUGAUCUCGCUGAAGCUAAGCCCUGGCGGUGGUCUCUGUGUGCGUCUGUUGGUUCAAAGAGUUUCAUUUGCUUAGGAAAUUUGUAUGUACAAUAAUCCAAGUGAGGGAUGAUAUGAAUAUCCCAAAAUGAGGUUUUUUAUUUUUUACAUUAACGUAUGAUUUUUCACUUGAAGUAUAAAAAUACUAUGAAUUCUGGGAUGACCUAUUUCUGCAAUUUUUUCCUUUUCUAAGCCUGUGUCAUUCAUUGUUACUGCUUUCAAGGCUGUGUUUUUACGGGAGAUUUUUCUGUUGUUUUGCUUUUUGGAAAUGGAAACCUUUUGAAUAGCUGAGAUUUUUUUGGUCCAAGUUUUAUCAAAUAGUUGCAUGCAAUACUUCUGAAGCCUCUGGGAUUUUCCAGCUGGUUUGAAGUUCCCCUGCCUCUAAUUUGCUCUGCCACUUGACCUUCCAAGCAUUGCUUCACCUUGUGGUUUCCAAAUCUACAUAAUUUUUAUCACCCUUUAGUUAAAUGGUUUCUUUUUGGCAGAUGGAAGUACCUUCAAGUAAGGUUUAAGUUUAUAUUGUGCCUCCAAGAUAAUGCAAUUCUAUUUGACUUGAUUUAUCCAUAAAUAGGAAUGUCUGUCUGAAUACCAGCUUAAAUUAUGUGCAGGUGGAGACAGAUUGCUAAUACAAAACUGACUUUGUAGGGACGCUGUAGAUCUAAAAUACAUACUGCAGUAGCUCUGAACUACAUGCUGUUAAGCACGAAGCUGACUUUUAUGAGAGAAAUCUGAAAAUUACCUUAAUAUGUCCCAUUAAAAUCGGUCAUUUGAUGACUAAUUCAUAAGCAAGGUGAAUAUCCCCAACCUAACUGUAAGAGAAGGGUGUGAAAGUGUUGGCUAUCAGCCUGAGGGCUUGCAGUCUGUUCUCUUUGCCAGUGUUAACUUGGGCUUUCAACUCUCUGUGCCUUCUUUACCUUUACUCUCAUUGUUCUAAUGAAUUUUCCUAGAAAUCCAAUAUGUACUGCAUUUCCUAGAAAUCAUCUGCUUUUGAGUUGCCCUCUGUGACCGUGAAGUGGAAACAAAGAGUGCUGUACCACGACCACCUUAUGUCGUGACCCUUUUCUGAUAGGAACAUUUCAAAUGAAAUUACCUUGAGAAAUAACCUGUAUUUCAGGUGUGUAUUUGAAAAGACUGUCAGGAACACAGAAAUAAAGAAAUAAAUACGAUUAAUAUAAAUCAACAACGUGGACAGGAAGCUUUACAUGAGGAAAAAUAAAACUGAGCAAACCUGCAUGUGCUAAGGGGCUAGUGAGAGAGAAGAGGAAAUCCUAUGUAAGAGUGGAAGAGAUUUACAGUGCAACAGAAUACCAUUAAAUGUGUAUUUUACUUGUCAGAUGUUAAUAUGUUUCUCAGCUAAUACCUCCUAAAAUUGACAUAUCUACACUGCUUGAUAUUUUUGUUGUAAAACUUUGGCCUUAAUUAAAUAUUGCACUUUUCACCAGGGGUGGUGGUUAAUCACACUGUUACUGUCUUACUAUUGAUUUCCUGCAGUGACGUCUAUGUAGAAGAAACUAACAACAACAACAAAAAAAACCCCACCACCAACAAAAAAACCCCCAAAAAACGAAACACGUCAAGGAACAAGAAAAGCAGUCAAGGUUCUCAUCCAAUGUUGCAGCCUCUGACUAACUUGUAUGCCUUAAAAAAGCAUAUAAAGGCAUCUGAAAGUGAACCUUGAAAGAGUAACAGUGAGCUGAAGUUGUUUUGCUUGCUUAUCCAAUAGCACGGUCUUUAAAAACAAAACAAAACAACAAAACACCCUGGGUUUUUUUAAGAGUAAAUGGCAGCCCUUUUUUUCACAUGGCUGUAUGUUUUAUUUGUGCAUUUGUGUGUGCUUUUCAUUGUUGGUGUGUUAAGUAAAUAUUACAUGUGGAUUUGGAUUGAUAUUUAACAGCUGAGAUGGUUGGUGGAAACAUAUGUCAUUGCCCAUUCCAAUGUCAUCAGUAUGAACCAUCUGAACUCUGCCUUUCUUUUUCUUUGCUGCCCCUGGGGUUUAAUGGCUUUGCAGAGAAGCUCCUGCCUGGCAUAUUGAGCUGCUCCAGAAGGUCUAAUCCAUAAGCAGUCCAGCAAGACUAUGAAUCUCUGUUCCAAAUGCUUUGCUGAAAAAAGAAAUCCACACAACGAAAAAGGUUAGUAGCUUCACUAACUGACUUUUUUUUCUUUCCUGCUGCAGGGUAGGGAUCUCAUCUAGUUUCUUGGUUUGUUUUAAUUAAUUUAGGACAUAUGCAGCAGUAAAGCCCUUUGCAUUUGCAUAAGCUUUAUGUUCUUAUAAAACUUAUGGGAAAAGGUCAACAGAUCAGCAUGGAAUGAAAACGUUGGGUUUAUAUUGCAAUAUAAGUUAUUACAUGGAACCUUCCUAUCUUUGCUUUUUUGUUAGACCUUCUGAAGCAGAGCAAAGGGCAGUCAUGGGCUGUCAGUGUACCUUCUUGUUUGACCAAGUACUAGUAGUGUCUCCAUUCUAAUCAAGAUGAAUUCACUAGAAGUAGCACAGGGACUGAAACUCUUUGUUUCAAGUAUUUGUACGUCUUAAAUGGAACAGGAGAAUACUUUUAAGAUGUUACUGCAGAGAUGAAGUUGUUAAGCUCUCAGUGACAAGAGUGAGUUGGUUAUUUCAAAUACAUUGAACCCUUUGUCCAGAAUACACCAAUUUAUUGGUUUAGACCUUAAAGGGGCAUUUUGCUCUUUUGUAUGAGGACAAAUCUGCUGUUCCUCAUGCGAAAUUGGCUGGUGCAUAAAGAUAGUUAAAUACUGGAGAAGAGCUUGAACUUAACUGUCCUCUUCACAACCUUCUUUGUUUCCUUCACUCCAUUUGUCUCUUCCAAGAAGGAAUAGCUGAUUUGUUUAGUUUAAGCCCAGUGGAAGUAGCAGACUCUGAAGUGCUCAAGAGCUUUUCUCUCAUCGUUUCAAGUUAAUUGUACUUCUGCAAAGUACGACAUUCUGCCUCGAGUUCUGUGCUGAACACAUGUUAUCAGUGUUCCAAAAUCUCCAGGUACAGUGCAAGCGUAAUCUUGCAUACUAAAUUGCUUCAAAUAAGUUUGCUCUUCAGAUGGUUGAGACGUAGUUGUCUCAGACUUCCAAAUACAAACACAGUAAAGUGUAGGUUUUACUUAAUCAGAGUAUAAGUUGGUAAGUGGAAAACAUGCAAAUUACAGCCAGAGCAUCUGCUUUAGUGACACACGUUUUUGGCCUAGUAGUGCUACCUCUGUAUUUUCAAUACAGGCUGCUAAAUCUGAAUGAUUAAAAUGCAGAACAGCAAUGAAUGAAAUUUUUUUGGAAGUGUUCUUUAUUAAUCUAGUUUUAUUCAUGUUAUGCUUAGGGAAGUUGUAGUAUCAAUAUCAGAUAGAGACGUAGAGUGCUUGUGAAAAGCCAUUUCUAUGAACCCUACCUGCUUUUGGGAGGAAUUCCACAAACAUUCACAAAAACAACACCUGAUGCUACAAGAACUCAAUUUUAAUUGGAGCCUGUGGGAACGGUCACAGAAUAAACUAUUACAGAGAAAGAAUAAAUAUUUAAAUACAGAAAACUAUAAAACUAGUCUUUCUGCUUGAAAAGAAACAACAAACCUGUGCUCUGACUUUAAUCCAUUUGAUCCACUGGGAGUCUGGAAAGUUUAGCUCUUGUGAUGGUGCAGUCAGCACUGGCCAGAGGGAUGCAAGAAGUGGAUUUGGGGCUGUUCAGUAAUGUGUGAAGCUGAAGGUAAGUGCAGCACUGGAUGGCUUGAUGAGGAGACAUGCUUGUAAAACUGAGAGAUCAUGAAAAGGUGAUUAGGAUAUUCAUGGAUUUGUGAAUCAAUUUCAUAGCAUUUCUAUUUUUAUAUGAUUGAGACUCUGUAGAAGCGUAUGUUCAUGUCUGUCUUAAUCCAGCUGUGAGCUCUUUAUGUUCUGUAAAGGACUUGGUCAGUAAACUUAAAGAAUUUUAAUCUUCCUUCAUCAAGGAAGGAAUCGGUAUUGCUGGUAAUCAGCCAUAUGCUUGUCUCCAUGCCAGGUUAUCAAGUUUUGUAACUUAAAUGGUAUAUUUUAUUUUUUCUUGUGUUUGGAGAUCUAAUGGGAGGAGUAAGAAGUGGAUACUGAUAUCUCCUGUGUAUCAUCUGAUUCUAGAUGUAGCUAAUCUCCCUGUAUCCUGAGCUCAGAAUGAGGAGUUACUGUAUGUUUUUAUUUAACCCUUCUGUUUUGUUCAGCAGCUAUUUAUUUUGUCACACUCAAGUCAUACACAAUUUUCAGAGCUUACAAAAUCUUGUUUCUUUUUUGUGACUCAGAGUCACUUGAAUAAUGGAGUUUCCUCUUUUCACUGUCUUUGUAAAUCCUGGGAACAAUUUAGAAUGCUGUAUUAUGUGGUGGCAACAAGACCUACUCUAAAGAUGAUCUGGCAAAAAAAAAAAAGUCCUAAACAUUCCUGCCUAAAUACAUUUUACUUUUAAUGAGCUGCUAACUUGUCCAUCAGUCAAGCUUUCAGGAUACUGAAAACCUUUUCAUAACUUGCAGUUGUGUGUUGCUAGUUCAUGUUCAUCCUACUGCAUGAUAAAUUAUACUCAUUCAGCCCUUCUCUUUGUUAAUUUUUUGUUCCUAAAUGAAUAAUUAAUCUAUCUUGCUUACAUUUUCCAUAUCCUUGUGCUAUCUUGUAGUACUUUAUUGUUGGAAAAAGAGCAAGCAUUUUCAAAAGCUUAAAACAAACAAGAAAACACCAAACAGUAGUUCUCUUUACCUGUAUACAAAAUGCAUCCUUUUUCAGAAAGGCAGCAGAACGUUUUUUACCUUUGCUAGUUACUAAUGGAAGCUGGUGCCUCAAUUUGUCGCUUCAUUAGGCUAGAAUUUGUUGCUGUAGUCAUUUCUGGCUUUGUGUUUUGAAGUACAGAGACUGCUUGUUACAAACAGUAGCGCUCACUGACUGGUGCUUGAGACUGGGAAAGAUGCAUCUCUGAAUUUUAUUGUAUGCUCAGACUUGAAGCUGAACAAUUCUUUGGAAAAUUGUAUUGCUGUUUGAAGUGGCAAUAAAGAGACUGCUAAUUUCUAGAGCACCUGCUGGUAAAGAACUGUAGCAUUCCAGAUACAAACAUAGAUGAUGUUUGGCAUGUACUUAAUUUCCCUUACUCUUUGCCCAAAGAAUUUUUAAGAGGCGGAAGACUGGUAGGGAAAAGAUGUCUUAACAUAAUUAGUAAACUUGACAAAGUCAGAAGUAUGCUUUUGAACUUUGGAAAAAAGAAAAAACAAACGUGAAAUGGAAUUAAGCAAACAAUUGGAUGAAUGACUUCAGUCGGGCUUCACAUAUUUAUAGGCUUGAUUUACACUGCUGACCCCAAAGAUUAUUUCUACUGCAUUAUUCUGCAGUUUUAAAAAGUGUGAAGAUCUGAGUAAUAGCUGUGGUUAGGUUGUUAAAACAGGGUAGUAUUUUCAUCAAGGAAUAGGAAAGGAUUUUCGUUUUUGCCUCUUCUCUGAAUCUGUCUCGGAUAAAAAGUUUUAGUGGAUAAAUGUGAAUUAAUAGGGGAAAAUGAGUUUGUUCAAAUAUAGUUGUAUUAGGCUUAGGAUUGUUUUAACUUUUGUUUUUAACUGUCAGAUAUGGUCCCAUCAACCAAAUCAUCCAGCAUAAUUAUGCUAUAUGCUUCUAAUAAAUAAUAUGUAUAAAUUGGAAAUGUAGGAGAGAUGAAUUUCUGAAGCUGUCUAAACUUGCUGUGCUUUUAAGUGUAAAUAGAGAUGAAAUUUUGAGUUACGGAAUCAGUGUAUUUUCUGUGUGCAUGCCAUAUAAAUAUACUAACUUAGGGGGAUUUGCCCAAUGAGAGGCAUAUUUCAUUUCUAUCUGUAUCGACAUGGCAUGGAGGUAUCAGAGUGCAAGGCUUCUAUGUUGUCUUGUGUCAAUAUUUUGUCAAUUUUGCUAGGCAUUCUAUGGAAGGACCUUAAAGGUGCCAUGUAGAAGGUCCAGCCUCAUCUGCUCAGCACUUGCUGUGUGCAAUGUAGGUUGUCAGUAAGCCAAUAAUUCAGCUGCUGGUUUGAUUUCCUCAAUUAUUUUUUCCUUGGUCUUCCUCUUUCGUUUUCCCCCAUAUAAAGUAGUGGGAGAGUUAACACUGAUGGAGGACAGACAUGUGAAGCGUUUCUGUUUCUGUGUUUACAGAAUGGUUAGUGGAUGAAAGGGAAUUUCUUUGGCAUCUGAUACUCAAAUUGUUUCUCAAGAUAGUUCAGCAUUUUCUUCUUUCAGGCUACUACUAAUGUCAAGUUAGUAGGGCUUUUUCCAGUGAUAUUUGAAAGUGUUUUCACCAUGUAGCCUAGGAAAAUUGAAUGCAUUUUAAUUAAGAAUUUCAAUUUUUUUUUUCAGACAGUGAAUCCUGUCACUGUAGGAGA